This 1297-nucleotide ribosomal RNA is filed under the name metagenome. Its description in RNAcentral is "bacterial LSU rRNA". It matches the Rfam family "Bacterial large subunit ribosomal RNA", at positions 1636 to 2925 of the family's 2925-position model. The record is from RNAcentral.
ACACGACCGUACCGCAAACCGACACUGGUGCGCGAGAUGAGUAUUCUAAGGCGCUUGAGAGAACUCAGGAGAAGGAACUCGGCAAAUUGACACCGUAACUUCGGAAGAAGGUGUGCCUUUAGUAGGUGAACCUGUACAAGGGGAGCCCAAUGAGGUUGCAAAAAAUCGGUGGCUGCGACUGUUUAAUAAAAACACAGCACUCUGCAAACACGAAAGUGGACGUAUAGGGUGUGACGCCUGCCCGGUGCUGGAAGAUUAAAUGAUGGGGUGCAAGCUCUUGAUUGAAGUCCCAGUAAACGGCGGCCGUAACAAUAACGGUCCUAAGGUAGCGAAAUUCCUUGUCGGGUAAGUUCCGACCUGCACGAAUGGCGUAACGAUGGCCACACUGUCUCCUCCUGAGACUCAGCGAAGUUGAAAUGUUUGUGAUGAUGCAAUCUCCCCGCGGAAAGACGGAAAGACCCCAUGAACCUUUACUGUAGCUCUGUAUUGGACUUUGAACAGAUCUGUGUAGGAUAGGUGGGAGGCUUUGAAGUGUGGUCGCUAGAUCGCAUGGAGCCAACGUUGAAAUACCACCCUGGUGUGUUUGAGGUUCUAACCUAGGCCCGUAAUCCGGGUCGGGGACAGUGCAUGGUAGGCAGUUUGACUGGGGCGGUCUCCUCCCAAAGCGUAACGGAGGAGUUCGAAGGUACGCUAGGUACGGUCGGACAUCGUGCUAAUAGUGCAAUGGCAUAAGCGUGCUUAACUGCGAGACUGACAAGUCGAGCAGAUGCGAAAGCAGGACAUAGUGAUCCGGUGGUUCUGUAUGGAAGGGCCAUCGCUCAACGGAUAAAAGGUACUCUGGGGAUAACAGGCUGAUACCGCCCAAGAGUUCAUAUCGACGGCGGUGUUUGGCACCUCGAUGUCGGCUCAUCUCAUCCUGGGGCUGUAGCCGGUCCCAAGGGUAUGGCUGUUCGCCAUUUAAAGAGGUACGUGAGCUGGGUUUAAAACGUCGUGAGACAGUUUGGUCCCUAUCUUCCGUGGGCGCUGCAGAUUUGAGGAAGCCUGCUCCUAGUACGAGAGGACCGGAGUGGACACACCUCUGGUGUAUCGGUUGUCACGCCAGUGGCAUUGCCGAGUAGCUAUGUGUGGAAGAGAUAACCGCUGAAAGCAUCUAAGCGGGAAACUCGUUUCAAGAUGAGAUCUGCCGGGGCCUUGAGCCCCCUAAAGAGUCGUUCAAGACCAGGACGUUGAUAGGUCGGGUGUGGAAGCGCAGUAAUGCGUUAAGCUAACCGAUACUAAUUGCUCGUGCGGCUUGACC